UUUGAGGUCAAUCAGCAUCUUGUAGCAGAUGUUAUGCCUGUUUUACUGAAGAGUGGUUAGUCUGCCUCGUGAGAGGAAGCGGUCGAGGAGAUGAAAGACUGUCGAUCGAUGUUGCAGCAUUGGUGUCGGUCGAAAGUGAUGCCAGAAUAUAGGCUGAGCAUAUUUUAUGACCGCUGAAGCCCAGAAGCAACCUCAAAUUACCAGAAUACCCUUGGGCGACCAUAAACCCUAUUUAUGUUAUUUAUAAGCCAUUGUUGACGGCAACACGCUCUUUAAGCUUUAUUCUAUAGUUCUAAGUUAGGAGAGAAGAGAGGAACUCCUUUAGAGUCCUCUUGGAACUCCUUUGGUUUUUAUAAUAUCUAUUGCAAUUUCAUCUAUUCAUCUAUGAUUUUCUGUGACAACUCCAUGUCUGAAUAGAUCCACCUGUUAGGUUUAGGGUUCAGAUAGGUUAUGAAUGAUUAGCCCAAAAUAUAGAACUGCGAAGUUUUGAUAUUCAUCGUAGGAUUGUUCUUACUGCUUGUGUUCUAGAGUCAUGAACUAGAACCCUGAUUUUAGAAUCAUUAGGCACAAUUGCGAACGCUUGGUCUUUUCUCUGAACUGAAUUCUAUUGAGCUAGGAUUGCUAGAAACAUACAAGAAUUGAUUUAGGAACCCUAGUGAACACAUUUUCAACCCGAUCAUAAAGCUUGCUAGAAGCGAUAUCGAUCGAUGAUCCAAUAGAUUAAUCGAUCGAUAUUGUGAAAGGUGUAUCGAUCGAUAUUCGUAUAGAAUAAUCGAUCGACACUUUCUUGUGAUCAAUAAACGAGAGUUUAGAUCCAAGAUCUGGAUAUUAGACUGUCUAUACAACGGAAGUUGUUAGAUUUGUACUCCCAGUUGAGUUCUAUAAUAUCUUGCAAACAACAAUUAGCCUCUAUAUCAUUAUAAUUCUGAUUACCUGAAUAGAAACCCUAGAUCUAUCAACCAUCCUUCCAUCAAACAACUCUCUGCCAAGCUGAAUAAUUGUCUUGUUCAACUU
RNAcentral lists this long non-coding RNA (1014 nucleotides) under Brassica napus (rape). RNAcentral describes it as "long non-coding RNA (BNAP_LNC021264)". The record is from RNAcentral. Lineage: Eukaryota; Viridiplantae; Streptophyta; Magnoliopsida; Brassicales; Brassicaceae.